Molecule: ribosomal RNA, 657 nt
Filed under: Triticum aestivum (bread wheat)
Lineage: Eukaryota; Viridiplantae; Streptophyta; Magnoliopsida; Poales; Poaceae
Description: partial small subunit ribosomal RNA
Source: RNAcentral
UGGAAUGUACGUGGCCUUGGCGAUAACGAUAAAUGCGCUGACGUUCUCUCGGAACUAGUGACGACUAAGCCACAUGUCACCCUCUUGCAAGAAUCAAAGCUCGACAUCCUUCCUGUCCCUAAACUAAAAUCUUUCCUGCCAUGCACGCUUGAUCAAGCUUUCUCGCUACCAGCCGUCGGAUCCGCAGGUGGCACUAUCUCUGCCAUCAACUCUGCCUUUUUCCAAGUCGUCUCUUACUCACACCUAACCUUCUCCUCUACCCUAGUCCUACGAACAGUUGCGUGCACCCAACCCAUUGCUAUCACAAACAUCUACGCUCCAUCAUCACGACCACUCAAGCAAGCUUUUUUAAACGAACUCUCAUCCAUCUCACAACCCGACGACACCCUCUGGAUUAUCGCUGGUGACUUUAACCUCAUCCGCUUCCCCUUUGAGAAAAACAACCCUGCAUUCCGCCACGCUGAAGCCACUGAUUUUAACCAAACCUUGGAUGAUCUAGCCCUCAUCGAACUGCCUCUACUUGAUCGCAGGUUCACCUGGUCGAACAAUCGAGCUACUCCCACCUUAGAACGACUAGAUCGGGUUUUCUUUAACGCAUGGGCGGACGCCUUCCCUAACACCUCACUGUCCUCUCGCACACGUUUCACGUCUGAUCAC